Molecule: regulatory RNA element, 91 nt
Organism: Roseovarius azorensis
Lineage: Bacteria; Pseudomonadati; Pseudomonadota; Alphaproteobacteria; Rhodobacterales; Roseobacteraceae
Rfam family: Rhodo-rpoB RNA
Source: Rfam
UGAUCGGGAGGCCGUCAUUGGGACGACGGCCAUGAAUGGAUCAAACCCUGCCCUCUCUGAUGGCCGUGGCGCUGGACCCCGACAGCGCGCG